This 744-nucleotide ribosomal RNA is filed under the name uncultured bacterium. RNAcentral's name for it is "bacterial SSU rRNA". It matches the Rfam family "Bacterial small subunit ribosomal RNA", at positions 8 to 796 of the family's 1533-position model. The record is from RNAcentral.
AGAGUUUGAUCAUGGCUCAGAACGAACGCUGGCGGCAGGCCUAACACAUGCAAGUCGAACGCAUGUCUUCGGACAUGAGUGGCAGACGGGUGAGUAACGCGUGGGAACGUACCCUUCGGUUCGGAAUAACCCGGGGAAACUCGGGCUAAUACCGGAUACGUCCGCAAGGAGAAAGAUUUAUCGCCGAAGGAUCGGCCCGCGUCCGAUUAGCUAGUUGGUGGGGUAAUGGCCCACCAAGGCGACGAUCGGUAGCUGGUCUGAGAGGAUGAUCAGCCACACUGGGACUGAGACACGGCCCAGACUCCUACGGGAGGCAGCAGUGGGGAAUAUUGGACAAUGGGCGAAAGCCUGAUCCAGCCAUGCCGCGUGAGUGAAGAAGGCCCUAGGGUUGUAAAGCUCUUUCAGCGGGGAAGAUAAUGACGGUACCCGCAGAAGAAGUCCCGGCUAACUUCGUGCCAACAGCCGCGGUAAUACGAAGGGGACUAGCGUUGUUCGGAUUUACUGGGCGUAAAGCGCGCGUAGGCGGAUCGCUAAGUCAGGGGUGAAAUCCCAGGGCUCAACCCUGGAACUGCCUUUGAUACUGGCAAUCUGGAGAUCGGGAGAGGUUGGUGGAAUUCCGAGUGUAGAGGUGAAAUUCGUAGAUAUUCGGAGGAACACCAGAAGCGAAGGCGGCCAACUGGCCCGAUACUGACGCUGAGGCGCGAAAGCGUGGGGAGCAAACAGGAUUAGAUACCCUAGUAGUCC